RNAcentral lists this ribosomal RNA (500 nucleotides) under uncultured bacterium. RNAcentral describes it as "partial 16S ribosomal RNA". It matches the Rfam family "Bacterial small subunit ribosomal RNA", at positions 30 to 523 of the family's 1533-position model. The record is from RNAcentral.
AUUGAACGCUGGCGGCAUGCCUUACACAUGCAAGUCGAACGGCAGCACGGACUUCGGUCUGGUGGCGAGUGGCGAACGGGUGAGUAAUGCAUCGGAACGUACCAUUGAGUGGGGGAUAACGUAGCGAAAGUUACGCUAAUACCGCAUAUUCUCUCAGGAGGAAAGCAGGGGAUCGUAAGAACUUGUGCUCUUUGAGCGGCCGGUGUCGGAUUAGCUAGUUGGUGGGGUAAAGGCCCACCAAGGCUACGAUCCGUAGCGGGUAUGCGAGGAUGAUCCGCCACACUGGGACUGAGACACGACCCAGACUCCUACUGGAGACAGCAGUGGGAAAUGUUGGACAAUGGGGGCAACCCUGAUCCAGCCAUGCCGCGUGAGUGAAGAAGGCCUUCGGGUUGUAAAGCGCUUUCAACCGGAAAGAAAACGCAUGGGUUAAUACCCUGUGUGGAUGACGGUACCGGAAUAAGAAGCACCGGCUAACUACGUGCCAGCAGCCGCCGUAA